CGCAAGCCUGACGGAGCAAGACCGCGUGCGGGAUGACGGCCUAAUGGUUGUAAACCGCUUUUCUCUGGGAAGAUGAUGACGGUACCAGAGGAAUCAGCCUCGGCUAACUCCGUGCCAGCAGCCGCGGUAAUACGGAGGAGGCAAGCGUUAUCCGGAAUUAUUGGGCGUAAAGCGUCCGUAGGUGGUUAUUCAAGUCUGCUGUCAAAGCGUGGGGCUUAACUCCAUAGAGGCAGUGGAAACUGGAUGACUUGAGUGCGGUAGGGGUCGAGGGAAUUCCCAGUGUAGCGGCGAAAUGCGUAGAUAUUGGGAAGAACACCAGUGGCGAAAGCGCUCGACUGGGCCUGCACUGACACUGAGGGACAAAAGCUAGGGGAGCA
This 377-nucleotide ribosomal RNA is filed under the name uncultured cyanobacterium. Its description in RNAcentral is "bacterial SSU rRNA". It matches the Rfam family "Bacterial small subunit ribosomal RNA", at positions 376 to 770 of the family's 1533-position model. Lineage: Bacteria; Bacillati; Cyanobacteriota. The record is from RNAcentral.